CCCUUAGAUGUUCCGGGCUGCACGCGCGCUACACUGAAGCGUUCAACGAGUAUUCACCUUGCCCGGGAGGGUUGGGUAAUCUUUUGAAAACGCUUCGUGAUGGGGAUAGAUUAUUGCAAUUAUUAAUCUUCAACGAGGAAUUCCUAGUAAGCGCGAGUCAUCAGCUCGUGCUGAUUACGUCCCUGCCCUUUGUACACACCGCCCGUCGCUCCUACCGAUUGAAUGUUCCGGUGAGCUCUUCGGACUGCGCGGUCUGCAGUUUCUGCGUUCCGUGCGGAAAGUUGCGCAAACCUUAACAUUUAGAGGAAGGAGAAGUCGUAACA
Molecule: ribosomal RNA, 323 nt
Filed under: uncultured eukaryote
Lineage: Eukaryota
Description: partial 18S ribosomal RNA
Rfam family: Eukaryotic small subunit ribosomal RNA
Source: RNAcentral